GUAGUCUUUUCUGCCCCCCAGGCCAUGGGGCCAGGAUUUGGUAUCUGAUACUAAAGGAAAACCCUUGAUUGCAUCGUUGCCCUGGGACUAUUCCUGGGGUAGCUUUCAUUCAAUGGUACAGAG
This 123-nucleotide small nucleolar RNA is filed under the name Myotis lucifugus (little brown bat). RNAcentral's name for it is "Small nucleolar RNA SNORA30/SNORA37 family (ENSMLUG00000021263.2)". Lineage: Eukaryota; Metazoa; Chordata; Mammalia; Chiroptera; Vespertilionidae. The record is from RNAcentral.